ACCUACCAAGGAAAAGCAGUUGCUUGGCGGUCUUUUUCGGCGCAAGUUUUAAAUUCAUCUCGAGUGUCUUUACAUCGCAAGAUUAACGUUAUUCUGAAUCUUAAUUAGAAGAUAUGAAACGAAAGCAGACUCAAAGUACACUCUUGAGUGUUUUCGGAUGCCUGCCCGUAAAGCUACAGCAGCUUCGGGUGACACUUCAUCUGCAGCAGAUGACACGAUCGUUAUAGAAACUCCAGAAAAUGAGGCUGAUGCUAUCGUAAAGUUACCUGAUGAUGAGAGAAAUGAGAACCCCUGGCCAGCCUUGUGGACUGAAAGUCAGGCUAGGGAAUUUAAAAACAGGCAUCCUUGGUUAGAGUGGAGGGACAAUGAACUACUUUCUAUCCCUUGGAGGAUUAAAUCCUGGUGCUCAAUGAGGUCUUGGGGGCCUACAGUUUGAAAAGAGAAGAACAACAAACAGGCCUUCCAAGCCUAAUUAUCAGUACUAGAUCAAUGAUGCAAACUAAUAAAAGUGAGAAAGUUAAUGAUCUUUCAUAAAAUGGGCCAUUUAAUAGCUUCAGAAAAGAUUUGUGAACUCACAGUGACAUCUAGUGGUGUGAUGUUAAAGGCGGUUAUAAUGUUUUUGUAAAAACUUUCUAUAACAUUUCUUAAUACAUGUACAUCGUAAAAAUUAGUGACACUAAAAGGACUAUUUCAAAUAUAGUUAUUAGGUCCAACUCAAGUGUUUGGAUUCAUAUCCGUCCUUUUUUUUCAGAUGAUGCUGAAAUGAAAAUGGACUGUAAUUCCCCUGUAUUUAAUUAUACCCCGUUUUUGGCAUUUACUUUAGGAUGAAAGUUUCCUCUGGAUGUGAUUUUUAAACCCUGGUGAUUGUAGUGUGAUGUGUGUGUUAUGGGGUUUGUGCCGUAUGUAAAUGUGUGUUUGAGAUCAAGAUGUUUUCUGAAAGGUGAUCCUUAUAGUAUAACUGAGGUUGACUGUCAGGACCCCUGUCUGACAGUAUUGUUCUAGCAGGUCCAGGUUCUGUUGUGAGUCGUGUUGGGUGUAAGACAACAGAACCAGAUCAACUGCAUACAGAAGACAUUGAUUUGUGAGAGGUGUAGAGUGAGACUGAGGGCUUCAGAUUGCUCGAGGAUGGUUGCCAGUUCAUUGAUGUAAAUAUUAAACAAUGUUGGACAUAUUGCUUUUAUAAAACUGAUAUCCCAUAUACGUAGCAAGGUUUCAUAAAGUAAAGUGAUAUAAAGGCUAUGUUAUACAGUCAGCAGUUAGACAUCGGGUAUUUUACGGCUUAGAACUCGGCUCAACCAAUCAGAAUCAAGGACCAGAACUGACCCUUUUAUAAUAAAGUAAUGACACAUUUCUCUUCAACAAGCCGAACAAUGUCGUCAGCACAAACAGAUACGAGUGUAAUGCUCAGGGUUCUGUUAUAGUAUAUUGUCUUUUACAAAAAGUGUGCUAUUAGUAUACUUACAAUAAACAUUUUUAAACGUAGUAUUGAAAUACUUCAUGUGCAAGAAUACAGUUAUAGUAUAAAUACAUAAAUAUAUCAAAUGCUUUCCUUAUAACAAAAAUGAACUUUCUGUACGGGUUAACAAACACUGACAUUUAAAGUAACAACACAAACAAAAACAGGAUUCAAUGUAAAAAAUCCAAUAUUCAUUAUUACAUGAUUCUUUUUCAACACACAAUGUCUCACUAUGAAAACUUUUAAGAUAAAACUACUGAAUUAGUUUUUGCUAUCAGAUUUUGAAUUUUCAAUAUGUAAUGUCAAAAAGUA
Long non-coding RNA from Triplophysa dalaica, 1768 nucleotides. RefSeq lists it as uncharacterized. NCBI's taxonomy places the organism in Eukaryota, Metazoa, Chordata, Actinopteri, Cypriniformes, Nemacheilidae. The transcript is spliced from 3 exons. The record is from RefSeq and is a predicted model, not a curated record.